CGAGCGGAGCAAAUCCGAAAAAGCCGGUCUCAGUUCGGAUUGCAGGCUGCAAUUCGCCUGCAUGAAGUCGGAAUCGCUAGUAAUCGCAGGUCAGCAUACUCGCGGUCGAAUACGUUCCCGGGCCUU
Molecule: ribosomal RNA, 126 nt
Filed under: uncultured Peptococcaceae bacterium
Lineage: Bacteria; Bacillati; Bacillota; Clostridia; Eubacteriales; Peptococcaceae
Description: partial 16S ribosomal RNA
Rfam family: Bacterial small subunit ribosomal RNA
Source: RNAcentral